GCAAGUCGAACGGUAACAUGAGAGCUUGCUCUUGAGGACGAGUGGCGCACGGGUGCGUAACGCGUAUGCAACCUACCUUUUACUGAGGGAUAGCCCAGAGAAAUCUGGAUUAAUACCUCAUAGUAUCAUAAAUGUUCAUGCAUUAAUGAUUAAAUCUUCGGUGGUAAAAGAUGGGCAUGCGUAAGAUUAGCUAGUUGGUAAGGUAACGGUUUACCAAGGCAACGAUCUUUAGGGGGCCUGAGAGGGUGGUC
This 251-nucleotide ribosomal RNA is filed under the name uncultured bacterium. RNAcentral describes it as "partial 16S ribosomal RNA". It matches the Rfam family "Bacterial small subunit ribosomal RNA", at positions 57 to 305 of the family's 1533-position model. The record is from RNAcentral.